Chrysolophus pictus (golden pheasant) is the source of this 94-nucleotide small nuclear RNA. Its record names the gene U2. It matches the Rfam family "U2 spliceosomal RNA". Rfam says of the family: U2 is a small nuclear RNA (snRNA) component of the spliceosome (involved in pre-mRNA splicing). Complementary binding between U2 snRNA (in an area lying towards the 5' end but 3' to hairpin I) and the branchpoint sequence (BPS) of the intron results the bulging out of an unpaired adenosine, on the BPS, which initiates a nucleophilic attack at the intronic 5' splice site, thus starting the first of two transesterification reactions that mediate splicing. Lineage: Eukaryota; Metazoa; Chordata; Aves; Galliformes; Phasianidae. The record is from Ensembl.
ACUGCUUCUCGGCCUUUUGGCUAAGAUCAAGCGUAGUAUCUGUGAUAAGAGAACUCAUCAGUAUAAGUUACAAAGAUGUCCAUAUAUAGUCUAU